Non-coding RNA from Chlorella variabilis, 85 nucleotides. Lineage: Eukaryota; Viridiplantae; Chlorophyta; Trebouxiophyceae; Chlorellales; Chlorellaceae. The record is from Rfam.
GCCGUUAUGGUGAAAUAGGUAGACGCACAAGCUUGAGGGGUUUGCGGACAAUAGUUCCAUCCCGGUUCGAGUCCGGGUAACGGCA